UAGUCCUGAAGAUAUUGGAUUUGAGCCUCUAGGGAUGGAGAUUGAGAUGGCUGUGGAGGUGGAAGGAGGGGAGAACUUAGAGAAAGUGGAAUCAGAAGAAGCAGGGCUUCUUGGGAUGGAAAAUUCAGAUUCUUUGGCUGCCAUUGGAUUUCUGGAAGCUUGGAGACUACCUGGAGUGGCGCCAUUUGCUUUCUGCCUCUUCUUUUCGAAGCUAGUGGCUUACACCUUUUUAUAUUGGUUGCCCUUCUACAUUAGGCACACUGCUGUUGCAGGUGUGCAUUUGUCACACAAAACUGCUGGCAUUCUCUCUACUUUAUUUGACAUUGGCGGAGUCUUUGGCGGAAUUUCGGCUGGAUACGUAUCUGAUAUGAUUGAAGCUCGUGCAGUAACUUCAAUUGUAUUCUUGUUGUUAUCAAUUCCAGCCCUUAUUUUGUACCGACUUUAUGGGAGCCUGUCUAUGAUUAUGAACAUAGCUUUGAUGCUUCUUUCUGGUUUGCUUGUGAAUGGCCCUUACUCAUUAAUCACGACGGCUGUUGCGGCUGAUCUUGGUACCCAGGACUUAAUCAAGGGAAAUUCCCGUGCCUUGGCUACUGUCACUGCAAUUAUAGAUGGUACUGGCUCUGUUGGGGCAGCUAUUGGCCCACUUUUGGCUGGGUAUAUUUCAACAAGAGGAUGGAACAGUGUUUUUCUAAUG
RNAcentral lists this unclassified non-coding RNA (694 nucleotides) under Hevea brasiliensis (rubber tree). The record is from RNAcentral. Lineage: Eukaryota; Viridiplantae; Streptophyta; Magnoliopsida; Malpighiales; Euphorbiaceae.